This is a non-coding RNA of Pelobates cultripes (western spadefoot toad), 3049 nucleotides long. The record is from the annotation of a GenBank genome assembly. Lineage: Eukaryota; Metazoa; Chordata; Amphibia; Anura; Pelobatidae.
ACUUAGACCUGUAGUGAAUUUCAUAGUUGCAACAGUUAAAUUAUCUAAAUAAUUAUACAUUGAUUUAUCUAAAUCCAAUCCUGUAACCUGUGAUUUAACAACAAUUGGAGCCCAAUUUGCAGUAGCAUGAAAACCAGUCCCUAUAUGCAUGCUGGCUGUGUUUAACUUAUUCUUGAGGGUCUCCAUAUCUAUAACUAUUUAGUAUACCCAUAGUGGUUCCAGCACCUCCUAACAGUGUGUCAUGCCAUUCCCUUUUCUGCCUUUGUUUGUUGUAUUACAUAAUGUUACAACAAGAGUAGUGACUUUUAAUGACACAUGUACAGCUUGUAAGAAGGCAGUUGUAUUAACACAUGUGGACGGAAUAGGUGUGUGUGUGUCGUGGUUGACUUUUGGUUCUAUGAUAGUGGAUGAAGGACAGUAAUAAGGUGUAAAAAUAUAAGGUAGUGUAUAGUUCUCAAUUGUAGUGUCGUUCAUAAUGACUAACAUUUGUCCCCUUCUCCAAUUAAUGAUACCAGUUAUAUAAUCAUUAUUAAAAGUAACAAGGCCUGUCUGUUUACAUUGAUAUGCAACCUUAACUGUGCACAUUUCUGCGUUAUAAGAUCUAACAAUUUUCUGUGAACCUUUAAACAAACAUAAUGCAUCGGUUUCAUUAGCUGUAGACACAUUUCAUAUGGGUAACUGGUACUUAUAAGGGUUACUAUUUGUCCAAUUCAUCCAAAUGCGUUCAGUGAAUGAAUGAUUGCAUAUUACAUGCUGAUAGAAAGGUGGUGGAGAAAGGUUCUUGAGGGGGCGUGUGUGACGAAUGCUAGAUGAGGGGCUAAGGCCUAAUUGGGCUGGGGGUAUUGAAGAAUUGUUCAUCAUGUCAGAGUCUUUUUUCAGAACUUGCCAUUGACUUGUACUCAUAAUGGCAUUCAAGGAACAAUAUCAGAGGGAGUAUAACAACUCCAGAAAGCAUAGCACACAACAUAAUCUUGGUCUCAGGUACGUAUGAUCCUCUCAAUCUACGAUAUGGUGUAAAAACCAUGAUGCUUCGCUGAGGAGAAAUUCUUCUGUUUCCGAGCGAGGAGUGGUGUUGUCUUCCUUGGUUCCCCUCUUUGGACACAGCUUCACUCGGGAUGCGUGAAUCCAGAUGUCAUGGGAAUCUGUGAGGACAGCGGUUCUGGUUACAGCAAUCACAGUAGCAGGUGGUCCAAAAGGGUAUCCUCCUUUCUUGGUCCUGUUCAACUGACGGAUAUACACCUUGUCACCGGGCUGGUAUGAAUGAGUAGGUUCCUGUGAAGGUAAGGGAAAACUGCGAAGAAACAUUGUCAUACAUACCAUUCGGUUUUAUCAACAAUUCCUGUACAUAUUGUUCUUGUAUUAGCUGUAAAUCCCCAGACAUUAUAACAAGCGGUUCCCUGGCCCAGGGUGUGGGAAAAGGUCAUCCCAUCAAAAUCUCAAAUGGAGAUAAUUUAGUCACCUUGUGGGGAUAUAUUCUUAUCUCAGCUAAAAUAGUUGGUAGAUAUCUAGUCCAAUUUACCCAUGUUCCUGGGUAAAUUCUGGGCUUUUUUCCUUAAUAGUCCUAUUCAUCCUUUCAACUACCCUGUAUUCUGUGGAUGAUAGGGUAUAUGAAACUGCCAGGUAACUUGCAAGAAUUUAGCAAGUUCCUGGGCAACCCUACUUGCAAAUACCGGGCCAUUAUCAGAGCCAAUCUGCAGAGGGCAGCCAUACCUGGGAAUAAUUUCAGUAACAAUAAUCUUCACUAGCAUCUUCCCUAGAUGUCACAAAGGCCUCAUGCCAUCUACUAAACUGAUCAACUAUGACCAGUAAGUAUUGCUGUUUCUUACCAAUUUUGGAUACAUGAAUAAAAUCAAUCUGUAAGUGUGUAAAAAGAGCAGUGUUCACACGAUCUUACAAAAGACUGUACAUGCUGCCUGAGAUUCCUAAUAUAAAAUGAAUUCAUGAGGAAUUAAAUGGUGCUUGCUAUGUGCCUGACUGAUGAAAAUAAAUCAGCUUGCUUCAAGUAUGCCUAUUCUUCAAGUAUGCCUAUUCUCCCCUCUUUAGAGAACAGAUCAUUUUGAUCUUUCUCUAAACCUUGUUUAAUCCAAAAGACAGAUUGUGGGUAUUUAAAAAAAGAAUCUCAUAACCACUGAAGCGCUGGGCUGUCAUGUGUUAUAUGGUGAUAUUUAUUAUCAGCUGAGUGACCUGGUGACUGGCAUGAAGUAUUGUAGGAUGCCCUAGUGUGAUAGUAGUAGCAGUUUCAACAGCCAUUGCACAUGCUAUCAAUGCUCUGAGACACGCCGGCAUACCCUGUACCGGAGCUCAAACUACUUUGGAAAAGAAUGCUAUGGGACGCAUACCGCCUCCUUGCUCUUGUGCACAGACUGCGGCCAUGGUUUUACAAUUGUCCCAAGCAUACAAAUGAAAUGGUUUACAAUACACAGGUAGUCCUAAAGCCUGGGCUUGCACAAUAACAACUGUAAGGGCAAUAUAUGCAGCUAGCAUGUCUGGUGACCAGCAGACAUUUUCAGGGCUGUCAGAACGUACAGCCUCCCUUAGGAUUGAGUCAUAAUGGGAGCAUUCAGGGAUCCAUGGUGGCAGUAAUUAAUCAUGCCGAGGAAGGUGAGCAACUCCUUCCGAGUAGUGGGUGUAGGAAUCCUCUGAAUGACCUCAAUACGUUUUGGACUCAAUUGUCUGGUGCCUAAAGCCAGAACAAAACCUAAGUAUUCAACCUUUGAUUUACACAAUUGCAUUUUGUGUUUAACAACCUUGUGACCCACAGUUGCUGACAGUAUCCACAGUGCUUGCCUCAUAGCUAGGGCUACAUAACAACAAAUCAUCAACAUUUUGCAAAAAGGACGGAACCAUGACCGGUGGUCCAUGUUUUUUAGAGUAUGUUAGAGUACCAACGAAUAAACAGCUGGGGAAUCCACAUAGCCUUGGGUAAGCAUGUCCAGGUAAACUGACAGCCUUCAAAAAGUAAAAACCAUAAGUAGCUGUGUCUCUUGAUCAAUAGGUAUAGAAAAAAUGCAUUACUUAAAUCAAUGACAGUGAAGCAAGUGGCAUCAUG